RNA transcript from Haemorhous mexicanus (house finch), 7092 nucleotides. It is a transcript of the gene named RNA binding motif protein 12B, with no coding region annotated. NCBI's taxonomy places the organism in Eukaryota, Metazoa, Chordata, Aves, Passeriformes, Fringillidae. The transcript is spliced from 2 exons. The record is from RefSeq and is a predicted model, not a curated record.
GGAUGGAUGGCGUGAGGGACAGAGCACGCCUCCCCUGGGUGCGGCGUGUAGCCGAGGGCGGCGCGAAGUUUGCCGGUUCUCGGUUACCCGGCCCACGCGGAACCGCUGCGCGGCCGCUCCGUGUGCCCCGGCCCCGUGUGCUCCGGCCUUCUUGUGUCCCUGGGCUUCCCACCCCACUUCCCCGCUCCCGCUGCUUCCCUCACCCCUGUCCUCGUGUCGGGAAGCAGACGAGCUUCUUCGGGGGGGCGCAGCACCGGUGGCUCUGGCGGGCCGCAGCGUUUGUGGCGGGGGUCGGCUUCCCCGUGCCCCUGGCCCGUUCCCUGCCCUGCCGCCCGCGGCGGGUCUCUCCAGCAGCGCUGGGGCUGGCGGGAUGACUUGCUGGGAAGCGGUUCCGUACUACAUUCGACCGUGUAGCGGGGCCAGCUGUAGAGCUCACUCAUGUUUUCCUUCAGCACUGGGCAAACUGCUAUUCGGAGCAGCCUGCUUCCUCUAUUGAGGCUUAUUUUGAAGAACAGAAUAAGAAUCCUUCCCCUGUUCCGCUAGUUAUUCUAUACUGGUCCAAUUUCGUAGACGGGAUGUUUCUAUGGGUUCUCUUUGUAGCUUGCAGUCUGUGUGUAAUCUUUCAGUGUUACGAUAAAAAUCCUAGUCUAGUGCAGCCUUAGUUUCCUACUGCGUUUACAAGUCGUGGAUUAUUUUAAUGGCUUUAAUGUUUGGAAUUUCCUGAGACUGUGGAAGAAUAGGUAUUACACUGUACUGUUUUCUAACCAAUUUUGCUCAUAUAUGAAAUUUCAUAAAACUGUACACUUCUGUGCUUUUAAGCUGUGGCAUGAAGUUGUUUAUUUAUUCUCCAAAUCCUUGCUCUCUGAAGUCCUUGUUCAGUUAAUGAAUUGCUCUUACUUUUCAUGACAAGUCAAUUCUUUUUGGUUAUGCACUUUAAAUUUGGAUGGCUUGUCUGUGCUUUCUACUCAUGUGUGAUGGUUUGCUAUACAGUCAGUAAGAGCUAUUAUUUGAACUUGCAUUUGUUUAUGGACUUCUUAGAGAUCCCGUUAUGAUCUGGAACCACUGGUCUGGUUUUCACCACUGAAGGUUGUGUAUUGUAUCCCUGGUGCAUCGUGGAGAACUUGCUGUUUAUCACCGAAGAAUUAUGGAGGAGAGCUGUUGAGAAUGAUGUUUAAAAAUUGGGAUAAGAAAGCGGAGUUGUGAAUCCAGAAGUACUACAGAUUAAAUACAUCAUGAAGUAGCAGGGCAGCGGAUUUGCUUUUUCAAGACAUGAAGGUGCUGUAUGAAAAUUCUGCCCUUGAAUUCUCCAUGCUUUUUUGGCACUGUCAUUGCAUCUCUUGAGAAGACACGUUGUAAAGUAUUCUGGGUCUGGCUGGGAUGGAGUUAACGUUCUUCACAGCAGCCCAUACAGUUGUUUGGAUUUGUGGCUAAAAGAAUGUUGGCAACACAUCGGUGUUCUGGCUGUGGCUGAACAGCGCUUGCACAGUAUCCAGGAUUUAUCAAUUUUCCCUACUCUGUUCCUACAGUGAGUGUGCUCAGAGUAGGUGAGAAGCUGGGAGGGAACAUGGCUGGGACAGCUGACCCAAACUCACCAAAGGGAUAUUCUGUGACAUGUAACAUCAUGCUGGGUAACAAAAACUGAGGUGGAGGAAGAAGUAUUUAAAUGGUUUCUUUGGGAGGAUUUUUUCUUGGCUCCCGAGGCAGUUGUUAUUUGGAGGAAGGCUGGACAUCAGUCAGCCUGUGGAAGGUGGUGAGUGAUGUUCUUUGUUUUGUGUUUUUCUUUCCACUGAUGAAACUGUCUUUAUCUUGACCCACAAGUUUUCUCGACUUUGUUCUUUCCCAUCCUACUGAUGGGGAUUAGGAGUGAACAAUCAGCUGUGUGGGUGCUUGGCUGCUGGCUGGGGUCACCACCACAAAAGUACAGAGGACAGAUGGUCUUUAGUGAAGUUUCUCAAUGGGCAGUUGUUUUCAGUUCGUUGUUCUUACUGAGUACUGGUGCAGAAGUGACAUGGAGUCUGACAGAAUUUGGGCUUUGCUCUUGUUUUGCUGCGUUCAGGUGGAGUGGCAGUAAUGGUUAUUGGUAGGUAACUCGUCAUCAGGAUCUAGUGCUUUAUAGAGCAUGGUUUGUAGAAGGAGUGUUUGUAGACCCUCGGAGCAUUGGGCUGUUGUGUUUGUUUUAAAGGGAUGUGGUCAUUUGCUACAGAGGCUUGUGUUUGUUCUGAGAAUAUUGUCCUGUUUGUUGUGUGGUGUUAUAAAGUGUUGAAAAUCAGGGUAUGUUAAGUCAGUGUAUUCAAGGUUUUCUUGUUCUUAUGCUUGAAAGGCAGUAGAGUAAGGAUUUAGGGAAAAUACUGAAGUUGGCUUUGUAAAUUCAGGUACUUUCUGAAGUUUCUCCUUGUUGGAUAUUUUUGCUCUUUCAUUUGAUGGGCUUCACUGUGUAUGUUAAGUGCAGUGCUGGACUGGUGAGUAGCAUACUCUUGUGAAGUUUGAAACCAGGUGGAUUUCAGAAGAAUGGACAUGUCAUGUAAUCCUGAGAUGGACCUAAGCACCUUUCAAGAACUCAGUUGAGAACUGUUCCCUUGAUACAGUGUCAGUCUGUUUCACUGCGACAGUUCAUUGUGGCACAAUUGAUGACCAAGUAAUCUCAUCGUAUUUUCAUCAUUUCCAGAAGUCAACUUAAAUUAUGAAUUUCUUUUGCUUCUAAAAUGGAAACAGAAAGAUGCGGUGCAUGGCAUCUUGGAACACGGAAGGAGUUCUUCACACGGGUUCAUAACAUGCUUGGCUUUAGUAUUAGCCACUGCUAUGGAUGGGCUGCAGCAGUGUAGCACAGUGUGUAAAGCAAAGUACAGGUAUCAGCCAUUAAUUAUGUUUCGUUUUCUUUCCACAGUUAAGUUGAUUUUACAGAAUUUAUCAGGUCUCCAAAGCAGAAACAGCUACUUUAAAAGAGAUGAAGGAGCCAGAAGAUGCUGCAAGAAAAAGAAAGGACAUGAGAAUUCUCAAAAUAAACUUCCCUGACCAUCAUGUUGAAAACUACAUUGUGACUGUUUUUGUAAACUAGCAUCUUUUACUACUAAGCUGUGUUGAAAAUGCGACUACAACGAACUUCUCCAGUUAAUCAGUUUUAGAUGAUUUGUUGAUUUUUAAAGUGCUUCUAGUUACUACACAGUAGAUUUCAAACUUGGAGGUUGGAAAGGUAAGAGAAUUUAAUAGGUUGCUUUGCCAGUAAAGUGUGAGAUUAUCUUUUAGAAAAAAACUGUUUUCAGAAAAGGUUAAGAGUAAUUGCUGAUAAGAUACCAUUAGUUUUUCAGAUGGUAAACCUUCCCCUCCCCCACCCCAGUGAGCAUAUAAAAAGUAUUAUAAAGCUUGUAAUGGCAGAGGUCAUAGUUAAGGCAUUACAAAAUGGUCUUUUGUUUGUCCUGUAGCUGAUUUGUAUUUAAUUUAAAGCCAUAUUAGAAUUUAUGACUACUUUAGGUUAAUCUGAAAUGUUUGAUUGAUACACCAAAAAAAAUUACUUUUUCACAGCCUGUAAAGGGCUGUAUCUCCAAGUACGUACAGAUGCACCGAAGGAUAGGAAACUUGGGAAGGGAUGCCAGUACAUCAGCUAAAUCACAAGGUUCAUAGGACAGCUGGUGCUUAGUUUAUAGCUGUUACCUAGUUGGUGUUUUGGGUCUCUGUGUGUCUGUAUGCCUCUGUUCCCCCUGCCUCUCCAGACUGGGCAUUAUAUUCUGAUUCUGCCUGAAUAGAUGGUACAGGUGCAUGGUGUGAUGACAGCAUUUCCUGAUUACAGGGUUUUAUAACAUCAGAUGUUUAGUGGUUUGGAGGCUCUGUAUUUCCAGUACAAAGGACAAAUCAGAGACUGCCUAUAAUUACAUGGCUUGAAAUUCUGGGCUUCUUUUUUAAGUACCAUCGAUAUAGUAAGGAGUAAUAAAUGAAAUGCUAUACUUGGUGAUGCCUAUAUAAAACAUGGGAUGUUUCCUUAGUCAUGUCUUCUCUGAAGUUGCUUUUGCUACCAUUGUUCAAAAAUUCUGAUGUAAAAGAGAACAGUUUCUGUUGUUAAAAACUAGAAAUAGUGAUCACCUACGAAAGCAGCUUGAGGCAUUUAGGGAAGGUCUAACAGGACAGUCUGAUGAGUACCCUUAAUCCCUAAGGAACGUGCCAGUGUGUUCAACAGAGAGGCAAAACAGUCUAGGCAAGAAUGGAUACAAGUCUGCAUCAACCAGGGCCAGUAAUAAAAAAUACAAAUGAGUGAAUAGAGCAACUGCAAGUCAGUCUUGCGGCAUGCACUUGUACAAUGAGAAAACUCUUUGCAGAAGGAUCUUUAGGUAAUAUUUAAUUCUUUACUAACAUCCUAAAUUGUUAUUCUGGCUUCUACUUCUGGUGAAGUAUUUUAGUCAGAGACUUUUCAUCUGUAAUUUUGAGGUUACAAUUUCUGUGCAACAUGCAAAGUUAAGACAUCACACACGCAGGACAAAGUUGCCCAACACAGUACUUUUCUGGAAGUUUUUCUGUGAUUCCUGGAGUUGACUUUUUUGUGAUGUAGGGAGAAUGAAUUUUAUGCUUGUGAACUGCAUAAUCUUUUAGAGGGCCAUUUAUCUAAACAAAACUGCCUUUAUUUUCAGAAUUGCAUUCUGAAGGCAUAGAACACAAAUACUUGUUAUUUGUAUCUAUGUACAUGAUAUGAAAACCUGAUUGUUAUGAAGUUAGCCGUCUGUUUUGGAGAUGGACUACUUCAUUGUGUAUGAAAUGAUAAAGUGGUGAUCACCAGAAUAUUGAUGUGAUAUUACUAUUUAUUGAAGAGCUUUGGUUGCUGAAAUAGAUGGGAAUUAAUCACAUAGAUACUUUCAAAAGUUUUGGUUAUUGGUAUUUUCUCCUUGCCAGCAGUAAUUCAAUGUCAGUGGUAUGUAGUGCUGGUGUAAAAUUAUUUUGGGGGUUUAAAAUAACCCUAUAUUGUGAACUUUUCAUUUAUUUUCAUCUCAUUAAUUUUUGGCAAAACCUGUUUUUUCACAUGUCAGAACAGGUAUGCAUUGCAUACUUUGCAUUGGUGGACAAAAAGUAGCAUCAAUAUUAUAAAUGCACUUCCUUUUUUUUUUCUGUAACUGAAAGGAAGAUCUUGUUAUAAUUUAAAAUUGUUUUCCCAGUCACAAGUUUAAAUUCUUCUGCAUUUGUUCUUUAGCAGAUACUAAAGCUGGAGGUGAACUGUGUGGUAAACUUUCUGGCAGACAACCAAGCACUGUUAUAAAAUGAACACAUGUAACCUCUAUCUCCAAACAGGAUAAGAAACUACACCCAAAAUGUGUAAUUUCUUGUAUGUUUGAUGGAACCAGUAACUGAAUCGUGUAGCUAAACACGUGAAAUUUGAACUCUGUACAGCAUGUCAACUAAUAUAACAAACAUCAACUACAUAAAAUAUCCACUAGUUUUAUCAUGAAGGCACUUUUAUUUAAAGCAAAGCAGCAUUAAACAUAAGAUACUGGGCCAGGUCCAUAUUUGUGACUGUUCAUUCUGUAUGUGUAAAGGAAUCAAAAGUCAUCUGUACCUGAUGAAAGCCUGAGAAAAAUGAAAAUAAGAAAAAAAGUACACCUCACCAUGCCUUCUGCCAUCCGGGGUGGAUAGCAAAAUGAAAUCUUAACAGGUUGUUGCAGCAAACAGUUUUGUAAUUACCACAGUUACUUUAGGAUGUAUAAAUCCAAUUAUAACAGUUACAGCUAGAGUACUUAAAAAAUUCAAGAGGUGUAUAGCUAGAGAGGUAAUACAUUGGCAAAAUAAAAGAGAAAACAAUGUUCAUAACUGCUCGAAAGCUUAGUGCAGUUUUUGGACACUGUUCAUCACGUAAGUUUAAGCAAAUGUGAUUACAAUAUAACAUCUAUGCAAAUAUAAUACAGGCAUCUAUUUAAAUAUUUAAUUUUCUAGCUACUGAAAUUGCCCACUUUCAGUGGAUUUUUUUUCCCAUUCUUUGAAACUGGUCAUUUGUUGUCUGGCACUCUAGAAUCAGCAUCAAUUCUUGCUCCUGCUGGAAUUCUAAAUAUAUAGCCCUGGUGAAAUUUUAGAUCCAACAUACAAAAGCCUUUAGGUAAAGGGUUUUUUUUUUUCCCCUUAAUACAAAAACCCCUCUUAGAACAGCUUUGUUAUCUCACUUCCUUAGUAGUAUCUAAUUCAUCCUCCUCAUCGUCCUCUUCAUCAUCUUCAUCUUCCUCCUCAUCCUCUUCUUCAUCUUUUCUUAGCAUUCUGCGGGAAAUCUGAUAAAAAUCCAAAAGAAGGAUAUCAACUGUUUGUUUUGUGCAAACAAAAAUUAAUUCUCCAUUGGCAUUUUCAGCCUAAAUGGUUGUAGGGUUCUUAUUUAGGGGAGGGGGUACGUUGUUUAUUUAUUAACUCUUCAUAACAUGCACACCAAUGGAAAGAUACAUGACACAGAAUAAAAAUACUACAAUGAUUUUUAAAAGCUAAAAAAAAUAUCCAUGUAGUCCUUCAGAACUAUUACAGGAGAGGGAAAUGGUAUUUUUUACCAAAUUAAUGCUAAAAAUCAACGAUGCAAAUCACUUUUUUCCUGGGUUGGCUGCUGAAGCAGCAGGCUGAAGAGGAGUAUUAGGGCCUAAUCUUAUCUUGAAGACAUCAGACCUCAUCAGUUAAAAGCUCCAAACGAUCCUGCUCUAAGCUUUUUACCUUUUUUUCCCACAGAAUUAAUUAGACAAACUUAGAAUCUCGAUUCAUAGAUGAACUUCUUUCCCUGCCCAUCAGUGCUUGCCUUUACAGUGACUCCUCUUUUUGGUUCAUCAAACAUUAAAAACAAGUGCCAGCUGCCAGGCUUUCAUUUCAUUUGACAGAUUCUGCAGUCUGUACUUUUUUUUAAUGAGGGCUCAAUCUAAUUCCUAUUGAAGAUAGAUUCUUCACAGACAAUGCAACAUUUACACUUUAAAGGAGGUUACAUGUUUUUUUUCUCUUUCCCCAUCAGAAAGAGAACAUUGAAGAAUCCAAGUCAUCUGGAAUGCUUUUGAAAAAUUUCAGGUUCAGUAGUUCUCUAAGGGCAUCUGCAGCUCUAAUUUUGGUCAUAUUUUCUGUGUCUGCUCACAUACAGUGACAUAAUAAAAACUUCUGCAC